This 253-nucleotide ribosomal RNA is filed under the name uncultured bacterium. RNAcentral describes it as "partial 16S ribosomal RNA". It matches the Rfam family "Bacterial small subunit ribosomal RNA", at positions 524 to 776 of the family's 1533-position model. The record is from RNAcentral.
CACGUAGGGUGCAAGCGUUGUCCGGAAUUAUUGGGCGUAAAGAGCUCGUAGGCGGUCUGUCGCGUCUGCUGUGAAAACUCAGGGCUUAACCCUGAGCUUGCAGUGGGUACGGGCAGACUAGAGUGCGGUAGGGGAGACUGGAAUUCCUGGUGUAGCGGUGAAAUGCGCAGAUAUCAGGAGGAACACCGGUGGCGAAGGCGGGUCUCUGGGCCGUAACUGACGCUGAGGAGCGAAAGCAUGGGGAGCGAACAGG